GUACUUUGAGAUGUUGGAAAUACCUAUGCUGAAUGUGGGAGUAAAUUAAGUUUGAAUGUAUGUGAAAUCUGGCCUAGGAUCAAAUAUGGGAUGAAAAAUCCUACUGGAGUGCUCGUGAUCUCAGAUGGUGGAUGCUCAGCAAAUGUGAGAAAACAGUCAUUUUUUUUGUCACAGUUCAUAUUUUACAUCACGUUUCCCUUGAAAGGGGAGCUGGAGGUAAUUGGUGUGUGCGAGGGAGAGCUUUAUCACUUCUGUGAGAUUGCUGAUUGCAAACAGUGCAACAUUCCUCCGUCUUGGGAACCAUCGC
This 307-nucleotide long non-coding RNA is filed under the name Gallus gallus (chicken). RNAcentral describes it as "long non-coding RNA NONGGAT011715". The record is from RNAcentral. Lineage: Eukaryota; Metazoa; Chordata; Aves; Galliformes; Phasianidae.